Molecule: non-coding RNA, 798 nt
Organism: Chrysemys picta bellii (western painted turtle)
Lineage: Eukaryota; Metazoa; Chordata; Testudines; Emydidae
Source: RefSeq, a predicted model, not a curated record
AGCGGUUUCACGUUGCCAGUGUGUACGCAGAGACAAGGAGCCAACCCCAGCCUGGGACGGACACCAGGAAAGUGCCUAGAGAACUGAGCCCAAUAACCCAACUUCAACCACCCCGACUACGAGGCAGAAGAGACAGAGUGUCCAUGCCUUGGGACCCUGACAGACAUAUUCCUCAGGGUACAUUAUAGACACGCUUCCUGUUUUUCUAAAGUACAUACAUCAGCAAUUUCAACAUUCUUAGCAGGAAGGUUACCAGAUGUGUAACACAGACAGACCAGCUCAGAUCAUGGCAAUAGAGCAAUUCACUUGAGUAUGAAUACCAAAGAAGGCCAUUGGAGACUGGAGCCUUUGAAAUGUAAAUGAAGAAACAUGUCGACUUCAAAGCGUUGAUCUUUGUGUGUUCAAGAAUGAUAAAUCUAUGGACCUGAGCUGUGAUGGAAACGCUUGCCAGACUGUUUUCAACUAUAAGAAGGAAUCCUGGGAGUGAUUCUGCAGCUCUGAUCUAUUUGGAUGCUGUAAGGGGGCGUUCCAGAUACAAGACAGAGGUCCCACGAGCCAUUUUGGUAUCCCUGAGAGACUUAUGGGAAACUAGUAGAUACCACAUCACUGCUAUCAUUUGAACUUACAAACUCUGACUCACCUGUUAUGUAUUUCACCUGCUUUAACCUCUCAAUAACUCCCAUUUCUUUUUCUUCGCUAAUAAAUCUUUAAUUAGUUUACUAAAGGAUUGGCUAUCAGUGUUUUUGGUGUGAGAUCCAGAGCAUCCAUUGACUUGGGGUAAGUGAUUGGGCCUUUGGG